Molecule: ribosomal RNA, 468 nt
Filed under: uncultured bacterium
Lineage: Bacteria
Description: partial 16S ribosomal RNA
Rfam family: Bacterial small subunit ribosomal RNA
Source: RNAcentral
GACGAACGCUGGCGGCGUGCUUAACACAUGCAAGUCGAACGGAAAGGCCCUGCUUUUGUGGGGUGCUCGAGUGGCGAACGGGUGAGUAACACGUGAGUAACCUGCCCUUGACUUUGGGAUAACUUCAGGAAACUGGGGCUAAUCCCGGAUAGGAGCUCCUGCUGCAUGGUGGGGGUUGGAAAGUUUCGGCGGUUGGGGAUGGACUCGCGGCUUAUCAGCUUGUUGGUGGGGUAGUGGCUUACCAAGGCUUUGACGGGUAGCCGGCCUGAGAGGGUGACCGGCAAAAUUGGGACUGAGAUACGGCCCAGACUCCUACGGGAGGCAGCAGUGGGGAAUAUUGCACAAUGGGCGGAAGCCUGAUGCAGCAACGCCGCGUGCGGGAUGACGGCCUUCGGGUUGUAAACCGCUUUCGCCUGUGACGAAGCGUGAGUGACGGUAAUGGGUAAAGAAGCACCGGCUAACUACGUG